This 459-nucleotide ribosomal RNA is filed under the name uncultured bacterium. Its description in RNAcentral is "partial 16S ribosomal RNA". It matches the Rfam family "Bacterial small subunit ribosomal RNA", at positions 338 to 795 of the family's 1533-position model. The record is from RNAcentral.
CCUACGGGAGGCAGCAGUGAGGAAUAUUGGUCAAUGGCCGCAGGGCUGAACCAGCCAAGUCGCGUGAGGGAUGACGGUCCUAUGGAUUGUAAACCUCUUUUGUCAGGGAGCAAAGGGCGCCACGUGUGGCGCUUUGCGAGUACCUGAAGAAAAAGCAUCGGCUAACUCCGUGCCAGCAGCCGCGGUAAUACGGAGGAUGCGAGCGUUAUCCGGAUUUAUUGGGUUUAAAGGGUGCGAGGGCGGAAUGUCAAGUCAGCGGUAAAAUUUCGGGGCUCAACCCCGUCGUGCCGUUGAAACUGGCGUUCUUGAGUGAGCGAGAGGUAUGCGGAAUGCGUGGUGUAGCGGUGAAAUGCAUAGAUAUCACGCAGAACUCCGAUUGCGAAGGCAGCAUACCGGCGCUCAACUGACGCUCAUGCACGAAAGCGUGGGUAUCGAACAGGAUUAGAUACCCUUGUAGUC